This 204-nucleotide long non-coding RNA is filed under the name Elaeis guineensis (African oil palm). Its description in RNAcentral is "long non-coding RNA (EGUI_LNC025354)". Lineage: Eukaryota; Viridiplantae; Streptophyta; Magnoliopsida; Arecales; Arecaceae. The record is from RNAcentral.
GUAGGAGCGCCUCUUGAGGGGCGUUGCAAAGCAACUUAUACCUUGUGCCACCAUAUGCGGGUGGCCGCCUGGGUCGGCCUUGAUAGUGUAAUUUUUCACUUCAGGGUGCAAUAAAUUUGGAUUGAGGGGGAUUUUACCACCGUAAUAUCUUGGAUUAACUCACAUUCUACGUUCAAGGAUGCAAAAAAUCCGUUAUUGAAGGAC